AUAUAGAGGUGUGAAAGAGACGUUGAGAUGAUUUGCACGUCUAAAGAGUCGUUUAGAAUCCUUUGAUCAUUCACCAGUAAUCCUUUGUCUGAUUUGGGUGUAGUCCUUUGAAGAAUUAGCUUCAAAUUCAUUCCCAUCUUGAAGGCACAAAUUCUGCAGGCAUAGCUGUUGUCUUGUCUUGUAGCGUGGACAAAACAGAGUAGUGGAGGUAGUGGUUGUACACUUGUACUUUG
RNAcentral lists this long non-coding RNA (233 nucleotides) under Medicago truncatula (barrel medic). Its description in RNAcentral is "long non-coding RNA (MTRU_LNC001193)". The record is from RNAcentral. Lineage: Eukaryota; Viridiplantae; Streptophyta; Magnoliopsida; Fabales; Fabaceae.